GUUUUCCAGUGAGUAAUCCGAAGAAACCGUCGGAGGCAUUUUUUUGUUCCGGCUUCGGAGGUUCCGUGUAAUAAGCAGCUCUAGCAAAACUGCGGCAGUUCUCUUAAAAGGAUGCUCCAGUGGCCUGCUGCUACCCACAGCUUGUGAAAGGAAGUCUGUUGAGCAGUCCGAUCCUGUGCAUAUUUAAAAAAAGGAGCUUGUUUAUGUGUCCUGUAUCAACCAAUUUCUCCAGUGAAUUGUAAACACCAAUUUAAAGUCAUGAAAAAACUCCAGAAGAAGGCAGCCCUUAUAAAUGGAAGGACGGAUUCUGGUUUAUGUAUCACCA
This is a long non-coding RNA of Hemicordylus capensis (graceful crag lizard), 325 nucleotides long. RefSeq lists it as uncharacterized. NCBI's taxonomy places the organism in Eukaryota, Metazoa, Chordata, Lepidosauria, Squamata, Cordylidae. The record is from RefSeq and is a predicted model, not a curated record. The transcript is spliced from 3 exons.